AUACGUAGGGGGCAAGCGUUAUCCGGAUUUACUGGGUGAAAAGGGAGCGUAGACGGAAGGCCAAGUCUGAUGUGCAAGCCCGCGGCUCAACUGCGGGACUGCAUUGGAAACUGGUCAUCUGGAGUGCAGGAGGGGUAAGCGGAAUUCCUAGUGUAGCGGUGGAAUGAGUAGAUAUUAGGAGAAACACCGGUGACGAAGGUGGCUUACAGGACUGUAAGUGAUGUUGGGGCACAAAAGCGUGGGGAGUAAAUAGGAGUAGUUACCCUGAUAUUCCACGCCGAAUACGAUGAAUACUAGGUGUCGUGUUUCUAUAGAGAUUCGGAGCCGCAACAAUCGCAAUUAGUAUUCAAACUGGGGAGUUCGUUAGCAAGAAUAAAACUCAAAGGAAUUGACAAGG
RNAcentral lists this ribosomal RNA (397 nucleotides) under uncultured bacterium. RNAcentral's name for it is "partial 16S ribosomal RNA". It matches the Rfam family "Bacterial small subunit ribosomal RNA", at positions 523 to 918 of the family's 1533-position model. The record is from RNAcentral.